AGUGAACGCUGGCGGUAGGCCUAACACAUGCAAGUCGAACGGCAGCACAGUAAGAGCUUGCUCUUACGGGUGGCGAGUGGUGGACGGGUGAGGAAUACAUCGGAAUCUACUUUUUCGUGGGGGAUAACGUAGGGAAACUUACGCUAAUACCGCCCCCGACCUACGGGUGAAAGCAGGGGAUCUUCGGACCUUGCGUGAUUGAAUGAGCCGAUGUCGGAUUAGCUAGUUGGCGGGGUAAAGGCCCACCAAGGCGACGAUCCGUAGCUGGUCUGAGAGGAUGAUCAGCCACACUGGAACUGAGACACGGUCCAGACUCCUACGGGAGGCAGCAGUGGGGAAUAUUGGACAAUGGGCGCAAGCCUGAUCCAGCCAUACCGCGUGGGUGAAGAAGGCCUUCGGGUUGUAAAGCCCUUUUGUUGGGAAAGAAAAGCAGCAGGUUAAUACCCCGCUGUUCUGACGGUACCCAAAGAAUAAGCACCGGCUAACUUCGUG
RNAcentral lists this ribosomal RNA (492 nucleotides) under uncultured bacterium. Its description in RNAcentral is "partial 16S ribosomal RNA". It matches the Rfam family "Bacterial small subunit ribosomal RNA", at positions 29 to 507 of the family's 1533-position model. The record is from RNAcentral.